RNAcentral lists this ribosomal RNA (641 nucleotides) under Paramoritella alkaliphila. RNAcentral's name for it is "bacterial SSU rRNA". It matches the Rfam family "Bacterial small subunit ribosomal RNA", at positions 66 to 696 of the family's 1533-position model. The record is from RNAcentral. Lineage: Bacteria; Pseudomonadati; Pseudomonadota; Gammaproteobacteria; Alteromonadales; Moritellaceae.
GCGGUAACAGGGGAAAGCUUGCUUUCCUGCUGACGAGCGGCGGACGGGUGAGUAAUGCCUGGGAAAGUGCCCGGUAGAGGGGGAUAACCACUGGAAACGGUGGCUAAUACCGCAUAAUGUCUACGGACCAAAGAGGGGGAUCUUCGGACCUCUUGCUAUCGGAGCUGCCCAGGUGAGAUUAGCUGGUUGGUGAGGUAACGGCUCACCAAGGCGACGAUCUCUAGCUGGUCUGAGAGGAUGAUCAGCCACACUGGGACUGAGACACGGCCCAGACUCCUACGGGAGGCAGCAGUGGGGAAUAUUGCACAAUGGGGGCAACCCUGAUGCAGCCAUGCCGCGUGUGUGAAGAAGGCCUUCGGGUUGUAAAGCACUUUCAGCGAGGAGGAAAGGAUAAGGCUUAAUACGUUUUAUCUGUGACGUUACUCGCAGAAGAAGCACCGGCUAACUCCGUGCCAGCAGCCGCGGUAAUACGGAGGGUGCGAGCGUUAAUCGGAAUUACUGGGCGUAAAGCGCACGUAGGCGGUUGCUUAAGCGAGAUGUGAAAGCCCGGGGCUCAACCCCGGAAUUGCAUUUCGAACUGGGCGACUAGAGUACGAGAGAGGGUGGUAGAAUUUCCAGUGUAGCGGUGAAAUGCGUAGAGA